RNAcentral lists this ribosomal RNA (497 nucleotides) under uncultured bacterium. RNAcentral's name for it is "partial 16S ribosomal RNA". It matches the Rfam family "Bacterial small subunit ribosomal RNA", at positions 28 to 507 of the family's 1533-position model. The record is from RNAcentral.
GAUGAACGUUGGCGGCGUGCCUAAUACAUGCAAGUCGAGCGAACAGAUGAGGAGCUUGCUCCUCUGACGUUAGCGGCGGACGGGUGAGUAACACGUGGAUAACCUACCUAUAAGACUGGGAUAACUUCGGGAAACCGGAGCUAAUACCGGAUAAUAUAUUGAACCGCAUGGUUCAAUAGUGAAAGACGGUUUUGCUGUCACUUAUAGAUGGAUCCGCGCCGCAUUAGCUAGUUGGUAAGGUAACGGCUUACCAAGGCAACGAUGCGUAGCCGACCUGAGAGGGUGAUCGGCCACACUGGAACUGAGACACGGUCCAGACUCCUACGGGAGGCAGCAGUAGGGAAUCUUCCGCAAUGGGCGAAAGCCUGACGGAGCAACGCCGCGUGAGUGAUGAAGGUCUUCGGAUCGUAAAACUCUGUUAUUAGGGAAGAACAAAUGUGUAAGUAACUAUGCACGUCUUGACGGUACCUAAUCAGAAAGCCACGGCUAACUACGUG